This 245-nucleotide unclassified non-coding RNA is filed under the name Hevea brasiliensis (rubber tree). The record is from RNAcentral. Lineage: Eukaryota; Viridiplantae; Streptophyta; Magnoliopsida; Malpighiales; Euphorbiaceae.
UGAUUUUGCACAUCUCCGGAAUUGUUUUCUUCUUUAUUCUCCUCUCUAGGUCUUCUGCCAAUUGGACCAGAUGUGUCUAGCACAUACCCUCUGCUCACAAUUUGGCACCUACUUCAUUACGCUGCUACAAGACCCUUAAUCAGUCAAGAAUUCACUUCUAAACUCGAACCUUCCUGGCUUCUUGAACUUCAAACUCAAAUCAAUUUGAUUUCUUCGAGGUUUUCCAUUUUCUUUUUCAUCAGCCG